RNAcentral lists this small RNA (167 nucleotides) under uncultured Blautia sp. RNAcentral describes it as "Clostridiales-1 RNA". It matches the Rfam family "Clostridiales-1 RNA". The record is from RNAcentral. Lineage: Bacteria; Bacillati; Bacillota; Clostridia; Lachnospirales; Lachnospiraceae.
GAUAUCAGGGGCAAAAGAUCAAAAAGCCGUUCGUGCUUGCACGAUAAGGCGUUUGAACUUGGGACCCGCCGAACAUGAGGAAGUAACGAUUUACGCAGUAAAUCAGCGGAUUCCGAAUGUUCGAGAAUUGCGGGAGCAGCUUUGCUGCGGAGCAAUUCGUAGAUAUC